RNAcentral lists this ribosomal RNA (298 nucleotides) under uncultured bacterium. RNAcentral describes it as "partial 16S ribosomal RNA". It matches the Rfam family "Bacterial small subunit ribosomal RNA", at positions 212 to 507 of the family's 1533-position model. The record is from RNAcentral.
CCAACGGUAUAAGAUGAGCAUGCGUCCCAUUAGCUAGUUGGUGUGGUAACGGCACACCAAGGCGACGAUGGGUAGGGGUCCUGAGAGGGAGAUCCCCCACACUGGUACUGAGACACGGACCAGACUCCUACGGGAGGCAGCAGUGAGGAAUAUUGGUCAAUGGGCGCAAGCCUGAACCAGCCAUGCCGCGUGCAGGAUGACGGUCCUAUGGAUUGUAAACUGCUUUUGUACAGGAAGAAACACUCCCUCGUGAGGGAGCUUGACGGUACUGUAAGAAUAAGGAUCGGCUAACUCCGUG